AGCAAGUUCAAGUAUUGGCAUUACAAUGAAGAGCAAAUGUUUAGGGAAACAAACAGACGAGCAAUAUGAAGAGGAGCAGCAGGAGGAUCUGAACGCUGAUGACAAAAAGCUGAGAGAAGAGUGAACGGAAGAGUUGUCUCUCUGACCGAGUUGCAGCUUUUGAGUUUGUGUGGCACGGCGGGAGCAGUGUGAACUUCUCACCUGCGACCCAGCACCUG
Long non-coding RNA from Micropterus dolomieu (smallmouth bass), 218 nucleotides. RefSeq lists it as uncharacterized. The record is from RefSeq and is a predicted model, not a curated record. Lineage: Eukaryota; Metazoa; Chordata; Actinopteri; Centrarchiformes; Centrarchidae. The transcript is spliced from 4 exons.